AUUGAUGCCUUAGUCCACUCCGAGAUAUAAAAAGACUAAUAAUGGAAAAAGAUAUGCUCUUGAACUCCAACAGUAAGUUGAUCAGUUACUAUCGGUAGGGACGGGAGACAAAACUGCCACUGAUGGGAAAGCGAUAAGAAGCCUGAAAGCGAUUCUGACACAAGAUACGAUGACAGGGAGGGAGUUCAAUCAGGAAUGGACAGAAAAAAGGUUGCUAGGCUCCUUUCUUUCUCAUGGGAGGGGUUCGCAUCCAACCCUUAUCGAUACCCCUAGGACAUUUAAGUGAGUCGGGUUUCGAUCCGGUUCCGAAAUGAGGCGGUGUUACCAAUGACUCGAUACCCCGCUGCUACCGAAUGAAGUUCGUCCUUCCCCCCUUUCCCUAUAAUAAGAUGCAGGCCCCCGUAGAUAGAUGCC
Molecule: long non-coding RNA, 414 nt
Filed under: Vitis vinifera (wine grape)
Lineage: Eukaryota; Viridiplantae; Streptophyta; Magnoliopsida; Vitales; Vitaceae
Description: long non-coding RNA (VVIN_LNC007903)
Source: RNAcentral